CUUUGAAAUGAGCAUGUCCAUGUGGCUUAGGCUAUGUCUCAAUCAGCUCCUAGUUCAGUAGUCAGGGCAAUGACCAAGGAGUCAACCAUUUUAAGGCCUGUCUCAAUCACAAAAUCCUGCCGGUGCACUGGGACAUUCGCUCCCUAUAAAAAUCCCACAAUGCACACAAAAAACAGGGAGCAUCGAUGCUCACAAUGUUCCCUUACUGGAUAUGACAUGCUUUCUGAAUGGUGGACAGACUCUUAGCCAACUUCCAUUUACAAAUAAAUGAUCGCGCAACCAUGGGGGCAUUAACUACAGUAUAUGCAGGUAAUUUGCAUGCUCUUGAUUGGAACAUCCAGGAAAUGGACUUAAGCAGGGUCAUUUGGGAGCUGGAACCCAGGGAACUCGGGGCACACGGCAGGGGACCCCCUGGAUGGGGUGCAACACAUCGCAGGACACAAUCGUUCAUAUACUGAUACACUACGGACAAUUUGAAAAUGCCAAUAGUGCAUGUCUUUGGAUUGGGGGAGGAAACCGGAGUACCCAGAGGAAACCCUGAAGCAUGGGGUGAACAUACAAGCUCUGCGGAGGCAAGAAUCAAACCCCCAACCCUGAAGGUGUGACGCAAACUCGCU
Ictalurus punctatus (channel catfish) is the source of this 617-nucleotide long non-coding RNA. The record is from Ensembl. Lineage: Eukaryota; Metazoa; Chordata; Actinopteri; Siluriformes; Ictaluridae.